UCAACAUCUGGGUGAAGGACUUAGGAGC
This 28-nucleotide non-coding RNA is filed under the name Mus musculus (house mouse). Lineage: Eukaryota; Metazoa; Chordata; Mammalia; Rodentia; Muridae. The record is from RNAcentral.